UAGGGAAUCUUCGGCAAUGGACGAAAGUCUGACCGAGCAACGCCGCGUGAGUGAAGAAGGUUUUCGGAUCGUAAAACUCUGUUGUUAGAGAAGAACAAGGACGUUAGUAACUGAACGCCCCCUGACGGUAUCUAACCAGAAAGCCACGGCUAACUACGUGCCAGCAGCCGCGGUAAUACGUAGGUGGCAAGCGUUGUCCGGAUUUAUUGGGCGUAAAGCGAGCGCAGGCGGUUUCUUAAGUCUGAUGUGAAAGCCCCCGGCUCAACCGGGGAGGGUCAUUGGAAACUGGGAGACUUGAGUGCAGAAGAGGAGAGUGGAAUUCCAUGUGUAGCGGUGAAAUGCGUAGAUAUAUGGAGGAACACCAGUGGCGAAGGCGGCUCUCUGGUCUGUAACUGACGCUGAGGCUCGAAAGCGUGGGGAGCAAACAGG
Molecule: ribosomal RNA, 429 nt
Filed under: Gemmatimonadota bacterium
Lineage: Bacteria; Pseudomonadati; Gemmatimonadota
Description: Gemmatimonadetes bacterium partial 16S ribosomal RNA
Rfam family: Bacterial small subunit ribosomal RNA
Source: RNAcentral